GAUGAAGAACGUAGCGAAAUGCGAUAAGUAAUGUGAAUUGCAGAAUUCAGUGAAUCAUCGAAUCUUUGAACGCACAUUGCGCCCGUUAGCAUUCUAGCGGGCAUGCCUGUCCGAGCGUCAUUUCAACCCUCAGGGUCCCCGUUCCGGCGGGGAACCUGGUGUUGGGGAUCGGCCCGCCCCGUGCGGCGCCGUCCCCCAAACUCAGUGGCGGUCUCGCUGCAGCCUCCCCUGCGUAGUAGUUACAACCUCGCAUCGGAGCUCAGCGCGGCCACGCCGUAAAACCCCCGACUUUCUGAACGUUGACCUCGGAUCAGGUAGGAAUACCCGCUGAACUUAAGCAUAUCAAAAGCGGAGGA
RNAcentral lists this unclassified non-coding RNA (356 nucleotides) under soil metagenome. Its description in RNAcentral is "partial contains 5.8S ribosomal RNA, internal transcribed spacer 2, and large subunit ribosomal RNA". The stretch from base 1 to 120 matches the Rfam family "5.8S ribosomal RNA", at positions 35 to 154 of the family's 154-position model. The record is from RNAcentral.